UACGGGGGGGGCAAGCGUUGUUCGGAAUUACUGGGCGUAAAGGGCUCGUAGGCGGCCAACUAAGCCCGACGUGAAAUCCCAAGGCUUAACCUUGGAACUGCGUCGGAUACUGGAUGGCUUGAAUUCGGGAGAGGGAUGCAGAAUUCCAGGUGUAGCGGUGAAAUGCGUAGAUAUCUGGAGGAAUACCGGUGGCGAAGGCGGCAUCCUGGACCGACAUUGACGCUGAGGAGCGAAAGCUAGGGGAGCAAACGGG
This 253-nucleotide ribosomal RNA is filed under the name uncultured bacterium. Its description in RNAcentral is "partial 16S ribosomal RNA". It matches the Rfam family "Bacterial small subunit ribosomal RNA", at positions 524 to 776 of the family's 1533-position model. The record is from RNAcentral.